CCCUUAGAUGUUCUGGGCCGCACGCGCGCUACACUGACGAAGUCAGCGAGCAUGUCCUACGCCGACAGGUGCGGGGAAUCUUGUCAAACUUCGUCGUGAUGGGGAUUGAUUAUUGAAAUUCUUGAUCAUCAACGAGGAAUUCCUAGUAAGCGCAAGUCAGCAGCUUGCGUUGAUUACGUCCCUGCCCUUUGUACACACCGCCCGUCGCUACUACCGAUUGAAUGGUUUAGUGAGGUCUUCGGAUUGGCGCCACUGCGGCUCAGCAAUGGGCUCGGUGGAUGCCGAAAAGUUGAUCAAACUUGAUCAUUUAGAGGAAGUAAAAGUCGUAACA
This 331-nucleotide ribosomal RNA is filed under the name uncultured eukaryote. RNAcentral describes it as "partial 18S ribosomal RNA". It matches the Rfam family "Eukaryotic small subunit ribosomal RNA", at positions 1470 to 1796 of the family's 1831-position model. The record is from RNAcentral.